UCGUGCUAGAUGGGGAGCCAGCGGUGCCCUGUAACCUGCAAUCCGCUACAGCAGGAUUGAAUUCCCCCUAUAGACUUUAGUCUGUUGGGCCUGCCUGGUCAAAGUGGUAUUGAGAACUGGGUCCCAUGCAGCAGAAACUCAUGAACUCCGUCAGAUCCGGAAGGAAGCAGCGGUAAGUGAUCACUUUUAAGUGCCGUGGAACAACCUGGUUUGAGCUAACUAGGUCAACAGUGGGUGCACGA
This 242-nucleotide signal recognition particle RNA is filed under the name Clostridium aciditolerans. RNAcentral's name for it is "Bacterial large signal recognition particle RNA". It matches the Rfam family "Bacterial large signal recognition particle RNA". Rfam says of the family: The signal recognition particle (SRP) is a universally conserved ribonucleoprotein involved in the co-translational targeting of proteins to membranes. Archaeal SRP consists of a 7S RNA and homologues of the eukaryotic SRP19 and SRP54 proteins. In most bacteria, the SRP consists of a 4.5S RNA and the Ffh protein (a homologue of the eukaryotic SRP54 protein). The record is from Rfam by way of RNAcentral. Lineage: Bacteria; Bacillati; Bacillota; Clostridia; Eubacteriales; Clostridiaceae.